This 343-nucleotide ribosomal RNA is filed under the name uncultured bacterium. RNAcentral's name for it is "bacterial SSU rRNA". It matches the Rfam family "Bacterial small subunit ribosomal RNA", at positions 29 to 399 of the family's 1533-position model. The record is from RNAcentral.
AACGAACGCUGGCGGCAGGCUUAGCACAUGCAAGUCGAGCGCUGUAGCAAUACAGAGCGGCAGACGGGUGAGUAACGCGUGGGAAUCUACCCAUCUCUACGGAAUAACUCAGGGAAACUUGUGCUAAUACCGUAUACGCCCUUAGGGGGAAAGAUUUAUCGGAGAUGGAUGAGCCCGCGUUGGAUUAGCUAGUUGGUGGGUAAAGGCCUACAAGGCACGAUCCGAUAGCUGGUCUGAGAGGAUGAUCAGCCACAUUGGGACUGAGACACGGCCCAAAACUCCUAACGGGAGGCAGCAGUGGGGAAUAUUGGACAAUGGGCGCAAGCCUGAUCCAGCCAUGCCG